AAAAAAAAAAGGAAAAGGAAAAAGCAAAAAAACGAUGUGUUUUUUUAUUCGUGUUUGACGCGAAUCAAUUCUGACCAACGUUGCCCCAUAUAUAUAUAUAUAUAUACAUCCAUCGUAUCUGCCGCUAACCGAUAUUGCAACGCGACGAUGAGCUCGCGUGCAGAUAAAACAGCGACAAUUAGCAUACGUAAGGUCAGUCGAUGGAUUAUUCGACGAGAAAGAGGCGCGAUGGAACGUCACACCUGCAGUGUGUCUUGGACGUCUCGCCUCGUCGUUGGCGAUAUGCACGAAAUAGAGCCUGCCCUGCUAUUCGAAUAAAAAUCUCUGGUGGAAUCGCCUUGGCCGAAGAUUAAUGAACCUGCGCCUACUUUUAAAGCGGGGCUUUGCCAAGGCCGGCACGGAAGGUGUUCCAUUCCAUUCAGCGAAUGAAGCGCGUAAACGGCUCUCUAAAUCGAGAGCCAAAACCAUUAGAUUAGAGGGCGUGUUUAAGGCGAGGCGGCUGCUUUUCAUUACGCUUCUCGCACUUUUGCCUGACGUGCAACAGAAUCGAGGCAACAAAUUUCGCGUGCAAUUCGAUCGAAAAUUCUCGUUCUCGGUUUCUCGACAAGAGAGAAGGACAGAGUUAUAUGUAUUGUUGUCUGUGAAAGAGGGAGGGAAAAAGAACGAGUCUUUCGAGGAGAAGAUAAUCGAGAGAGGAAUUGUUAUCAGUCUACCACUUUGUUCCUUGGAAAAACAAGAUGAACCAAUUGACAUUGUUGAAGAGUUUAUUGAAUUUAUUAUUUGAGCUCUUUAUGAAAAUAUUAAAAAAUUUUUUUCCUUUAGAUUAGAUAUUUGAGUAUCAUAUCAUUUUUCUCUUGUUCCAGACCAGAUCUGCGAAAUAUCGUCGACGACCUUGAUCUUUUACCGUCGAUCUAAAAACAAAAAUCUAUAAGAAAUUGCGUGCGGAAAGGAAGAGAAGUCAAAUGAAUUUAUUCGAAAAGAGAGAGAGAGAGAGAAAAUAAUAAUUUGUUAAUUAACAAAUUGUUACGAAAGGGAUAAUUAUAAAAGAGAAAACAAAACCACUCAAGUUUAUUAACAUAUAACACUGCGAGUUAAUCUCGUUAAGAAAGUUGAUAUAUGGACGAAUUAAAUCAUUCUCAAGAGAAUCCGGCGGAGGCGUUUACGUUUAGAAAUGCAAAUUGACCGAUUCGAUCAAUUUGUAACAUUAAACGAUUCAUCCUCUGUACAAUUAUUAUUUUUGUAUCCGAUCGCGAUUAAGCGGGUUGUGUUGGCUGCGUUGCGAAAGGGGGAACUCGGUAAAAAUACUGCGAAACACGUGACAAUCAAGUAUUCCGAGGAUUCUCGAUGAUUUCUUUGCUUUCUAUCAUUGCGCUUGCGCAAUGGAUAUAUUCACGCUUGACAUUGUUACGUGGCAACGUUCAUACGGAUGGCUUGCACGCGAAAACCGUUAAAUUUGUGUGACCAAUCAUUGUGCACGUCCGACUGAAUGUUAAGAAAGAAUGGUGAACAAAUAAGGGGGUAAAUGCAACGACUUGUCAAUCAGGAUCGUAAUACGGUAGCAUAGAGAAAGAUCGUUGCAUACAAAUCGCACUUAUUCAAAAAUAGCGUGGAAAUGUUUCGUUGAACGAGUCGGCGAAGUUUGCCGACAAACUUCUCGAACGCGAUUUAUUUACGAAGGAAAUAUCGCGAAAAGGGACUAGAAUAUUUUUUACAGAAACAGUUGUUCAAAUUUUUAAUAUAAUUGUAUUAAGAUACCUUUGAGUCGAAAUUCAUGGUUCUUUUAUUUCCUUCGGAAAAAGUAGAAUCGAUCGAAUCGAAAUUGAGGUUAGGUCGAAACAAAAUAUUACGAAGGAAGUC
Molecule: long non-coding RNA, 1857 nt
Organism: Apis mellifera (honey bee)
Lineage: Eukaryota; Metazoa; Arthropoda; Insecta; Hymenoptera; Apidae
Exons: 4
Source: RefSeq, a predicted model, not a curated record